RNAcentral lists this ribosomal RNA (497 nucleotides) under uncultured bacterium. RNAcentral describes it as "partial 16S ribosomal RNA". It matches the Rfam family "Bacterial small subunit ribosomal RNA", at positions 28 to 507 of the family's 1533-position model. The record is from RNAcentral.
GAUGAACGCUGGCGGCGUGCCUAAUACAUGCAAGUCGAGCGAACAGACGAGGAGCUUGCUCCUCUGACGUUAGCGGCGGACGGGUGAGUAACACGUGGAUAACCUACCUAUAAGACUGGGAUAACUUCGGGAAACCGGAGCUAAUACCGGAUAACAUGUUGAACCGCAUGGUUCAACAGUGAAAGACGGUCUUGCUGUCACUUAUAGAUGGAUCCGCGCCGCAUUAGCUAGUUGGUAAGGUAACGGCUUACCAAGGCAACGAUGCGUAGCCGACCUGAGAGGGUGAUCGGCCACACUGGAACUGAGACACGGUCCAGACUCCUACGGGAGGCAGCAGUAGGGAAUCUUCCGCAAUGGGCGAAAGCCUGACGGAGCAAUGCCGCGUGAGUGAAGAAGGUCUUCGGAUCGUAAAACUCUGUUAUUAGGGAAGAACAAAUGUGUAAGUAAAUAUGCACGUCUUGACGGUACCUAAUCAGAAAGCCACGGCUAACUACGUG